RNAcentral lists this long non-coding RNA (314 nucleotides) under Brassica napus (rape). RNAcentral describes it as "long non-coding RNA (BNAP_LNC026660)". Lineage: Eukaryota; Viridiplantae; Streptophyta; Magnoliopsida; Brassicales; Brassicaceae. The record is from RNAcentral.
UUACUAGUAAGUCGUCCAAACCGGACCGAACCUUUAAUUUUACAAUGUACUUUUAAACCUAACCAGAUUAUUUACCGGACAUAUAUAAGGUAUUUUUUUUAAUUCACUUUUUCGCGAAAUUCAGAAAACUCUAACGCCGUUUCUCUCAAAGGCGAUUUCGAAGGCGAUUUCCGUCGAUUCUCUCUAAUCCAUCGUUCUCACCGCCGGUUAUCUCUCCGCCGUUCUCACCACCGUUCUCACCACCGUUCUCACAGCCGCUUCCUCUAUUUAAGAUCUGAGAGGAAACCCUAGCGCGCAUUCUCUCAGAGGCGUCU